GAUGAACGCUGGCGGCGUGCCUAAUACAUGCGAGUCGAGCGAACAGACGAGGAGCUUGCUCCUCUGACGUUAGCGGCGGACGGGUGAGUAACACGUGGAUAACCUACCUAUAAGACUGGGAUAACUUCGGGAAACCGGAGCUAAUACCGGAUAAUAUAUUGAACCGCAUGGUUCAAUAGUGAAAGACGGUUUUGCUGUCACUUAUAGAUGGAUCCGCGCCGCAUUAGCUAGUUGGUAAGGUAACGGCUUACCGAGGCAACGAUGCGUAGCCGACCUGAGAGGGUGAUCGGCCACACUGGAACUGAGACACGGUCCAGACUCCUACGGGAGGCAGCAGUAGGGAAUCUUCCGCAAUGGGCGAAAGCCUGACGGAGCAACGCCGCGUGAGUGAUGAAGGUCUUCGGAUCGUAAAACUCUGUUAUUAGGGAAGAACAAAUGUGUAAGUAACUAUGCACGUCUUGACGGUACCUAAUCAGAAAGCCACGGCUAACUACGUG
RNAcentral lists this ribosomal RNA (497 nucleotides) under uncultured bacterium. RNAcentral's name for it is "partial 16S ribosomal RNA". It matches the Rfam family "Bacterial small subunit ribosomal RNA", at positions 28 to 507 of the family's 1533-position model. The record is from RNAcentral.